GCAGGCAAUGCGGGGCUGUGCGUUGUCUGGAGCAAGCCAAGACCGGGAAACCAGUAAUUACCCGGUCCAAGUUUUGUUCCUUCCGACAGCCUGGCGGAUUAAUUACUCGUUCCAUUUCCUUGUAUACGGUAAGUAUGUGGAAUUAGUAACUCCUAUGACAGCAAUUUUUUUUUCAAGACAAACCUUAUGAAUAACACUCCGGUCUCGGUAUGUAUAUUUCAAAAAA
Molecule: long non-coding RNA, 226 nt
Filed under: Brachypodium distachyon (stiff brome)
Lineage: Eukaryota; Viridiplantae; Streptophyta; Magnoliopsida; Poales; Poaceae
Description: long non-coding RNA (BDIS_LNC004093)
Source: RNAcentral